Molecule: ribosomal RNA, 504 nt
Filed under: delta proteobacterium enrichment culture clone C1_H1
Lineage: Bacteria; Deltaproteobacteria
Description: bacterial SSU rRNA
Rfam family: Bacterial small subunit ribosomal RNA
Source: RNAcentral
AAUUAACGCUGGCGGCAUGCCUAACACAUGCAAGUCGCACGAGAAAGCCCGGUUCGCCGGGCGAGUAAAGUGGCGCACGGGUGAGUAACGCGUGGAUAAUCUACCUCUAUCUGGGGGAUAACGCACCGAAAGGUGCGCUAAUACCGCAUAUUCCGGCGGGUCGUAAGUCCUGUCGGUAAAGGUGGCCUCUUCUUGAAAGCUACCGGGUGGAGAUGAGUCCGCGUCCCAUUAGCUAGUUGGUGGGGUAAAGGCCCACCUAGGCGACGAUGGGUAGCUGGUCUGAGAGGACGAUCAGCCACACUGGAACUGGAACACGGUCCAGACUCCUACGGGAGGCAGCAGUGAGGAAUAUUGCGCAAUGGGGGAAACCCUGACGCAGCGAUGCCGCGUGGGUGAAGAAGGCCUUCGGGUCGUAAAGCCCUGUCAAGUGGGAAGAACAGCGGCGGGACGAAUAAUCCCGUCGUGUGACGGUACCACUGAAGGAAGCACCGGCUAACUCCGUGC